This 624-nucleotide small RNA is filed under the name Pongo abelii (Sumatran orangutan). RNAcentral's name for it is "retained intron". The record is from RNAcentral. Lineage: Eukaryota; Metazoa; Chordata; Mammalia; Primates; Hominidae.
GGGUCAAGGUAGCUCUAGGCUACAGGGUCCUUGCUAGGGGGUCUCUGGGAGCGCUUGGACCCUGGCUUCUGGGACGCGUCAGGAGAAGGGAGCGUUGGCUUUGCUUUCAUCAGGACAAAGAUGCCUUUCUUUGGGAAUACGUUCAGUCCGAAGAAGACACCUCCUCGGAAGUCGGCAUCUCUCUCCAACCUGCAUUCUUUGGAUCGAUCAACCCGGGAGGUGGAGCUGGGCUUGGAAUACGGAUCCCCAACUAUGAACCUGGCAGGGCAAAGCCUGAAGUUUGAAAAUGGCCAGUGGAUAGCAGGUGAGCUACACUUCCUGCCAUUUUGUCAAACAAGAUUGUAGGAGGAAAUCCCCCUUUAACUGGUUCUGUCCUUCCUCCAGAGACAGGGGUUAGUGGUGGUGUGGACCGGAAGGAGGUUCAGCGCCUUCGCAGGCGCAACCAGCAGUUGGAGGAAGAGAACAAUCUCUUGCGGCUGAAAGUGGACAUCCUGUUAGACAUGGUGAGGCAGGUGAUGGGGAAGAGAGGCCUAGCUUCUCCUUUUGGGAAGGCUCCACCUCGAGUCAUUUAAUCCGACAGAUAUCUCCUCAAUGCCAGUUUGGCCAGGUACAUUGCUUUGCAUC